GACGAACGCUGGCGGCGUGCUUAACACAUGCAAGUCGAACGGAAAGGCCCUGCUUGCCGGGUACUCGAGUGGCGAACGGGUGAGUAACACGUGGGUGAUCUGCCCUGCACUUCGGGAUAAGCCUGGGAAACUGGGUCUAAUACCGGAUAGGAGCCAUUUUUAGUGUGAUGGUUGGAAAGUUUUUUCGGUGUAGGAUGAGCUCGCGGCCUAUCAGCUUGUUGGUGGGGUAAUGGCCUACCAAGGCGGCGACGGGUAGCCGGCCUGAGAAGGUGGACGGCCACAUUGGGACUGAGAUGCGGCCCAGACUCCUACGGGAGGCAGCAGUGGGGAAUAUUGCACAAUGGGCGCAAGCCUGAUGCAGCGACGCCGCGGGGGGGAUGACGGCCUUCGGGUUGUAAACUCCUUUCGCUAGGGACGAAGCUUUUUGUGACGGUACCUAGAUAAGAAGCACCGGCUAACUACGUG
Molecule: ribosomal RNA, 465 nt
Filed under: uncultured bacterium
Lineage: Bacteria
Description: partial 16S ribosomal RNA
Rfam family: Bacterial small subunit ribosomal RNA
Source: RNAcentral